CGUGGAGUGGUUUGUCUGGUUUAUUCCGAUAACGAGCGAGACUCUAACCUACUAAAUAGUUGGCAGUUUACUUCGACUGUACAGCUUCUUAACGAGAUUCGCGUCUUCAAGGCGCAAGAAAUGGAGCAAUAACAGGUCUGUGAUGCCCUUAGAUGUUCGGGGCCGCACGCGUGCUACAAUGAUGGUAACAGCGUGAUUGUCCUCGCCCGAGAGGGCUUGGCAAACAGUUGAGAUAUUAUUAUGGCUGGAAUUGAGUGUUGAAAUUUUCUCUCAUGAACGAGGAAUUCCAAGUAAAUGCGAGUCAUCAACUUGCAUUGAUUACGUCCCUGCCCUUUGUAC
This 339-nucleotide ribosomal RNA is filed under the name Nematoda environmental sample. RNAcentral's name for it is "SSU rRNA". It matches the Rfam family "Eukaryotic small subunit ribosomal RNA", at positions 1300 to 1665 of the family's 1831-position model. Lineage: Eukaryota; Metazoa; Nematoda. The record is from RNAcentral.